RNAcentral lists this ribosomal RNA (253 nucleotides) under uncultured bacterium. RNAcentral's name for it is "partial 16S ribosomal RNA". It matches the Rfam family "Bacterial small subunit ribosomal RNA", at positions 524 to 776 of the family's 1533-position model. The record is from RNAcentral.
UACAGAGGGGGCAAGCGUUGUUCGGAAUUACUGGGCGGAAAGGGCGCGUAGGCGGCCUUCUAAGUCGAACGGGAAAUCCCCGGGCUCAACCCGGGAACUGCGUCCGAGACUGGAAGGCUUGAAUCCGGGAGAGGGAUGUGGAAUUCCAGGUGUAGCGGUGAAAUGCGUAGAUAUCAGGAGGAACACCGGUGGUGUAGACGGCUUUCUGGACCGUAACUGACGCUGAGACACGAAAGCGUGGGUAGCAAACAGG